GUGCAUUUGACCUUUAUAUUAUUAUUGUCCCCUUGAGCCCUUCACCGAGCUAUUUUUAAAACUGUUGUUUAUGUGAACUUGCAAUCAAUUAAAAUCUUAGGGCCUGAACUUCAGGUCAAAAUCUACAGGCACGAUGAUUUAUAUUUGAACUUUUGAAGUAUUCAAGCGCCAACAGCGGUAUAUAUUUAUUAUAUAGUUUUCUUUGUUUUUCUUCAUUUUAAAUACUACAACUGUAUUUCUGGACCGCUCGGCCCCUCCGGGUAAUGAAAAUUUAUAGAACCCGCCCGCCUCACAAAAUGAACCAAUUUCAUUGCUCGACAUAUACAAGUGAUCUAUGGUCACAACCGCUAAUUACAGACGUCUGGUAUUUCUAUAAUUAUAUUGGAACGAAACAUUUCUUUUUUAAAGAAAUAUUUUCUUGUUGAUAAAACAACUGUGUUUAAUUGAUAAUACAAGAAUCUACAACAUCAUUUGGGCUGCCUAUGAUGAUAUUAGAACAAUUUCAAUAUGAAAGUGCAGGUGUCUUUAGACAUGAGCCAUAAUGUAUAUAUCAAAAUACUGAUAAAAUCCGUUUCCAGCUUGAUUGUAUUUGCAUUUGUUGUAUUUGCAUUGUUGCAGACAAAGUUGUGCAAUAUAUGGUGGGCUUAUGUCACAUACUCGUAUGUAAUUCCUUGUGCCUGCAUGUACAGUACUUUGAUGCCUCAAGAGAUGCUUCGAAUGUGUAAUAAUAAAGGGCUGUUCGCAGGAGUUCAAUGGGCUGUAUGGCCUUAAAUUGCAUUGUUUUUAUGAUAUUUUAAGAUUGUAUUCAUAUGGCUGGACCACCAUGCCAUUGCCACAAUGCCUGAUGUUCAAACAGGCUUUAAAAUCAGGUUACAAUGCAUGCUUGAAAAUAUGCAACAAUUUCACUGCUAAUAAUAUUCCAGAAAAUCCUGCCUCUUGGGCAGAUCUGGACUGAUUUGUCAGAGGGGGUUGGAGGUUUUCUACUUGUGAUCGGGCAAGGGGAGCAAAGCCAAGGGUGCUGGGUCAGAGUCAAACUCAUGUGAACAGCUUCUAAGUCCUACUAUUAUAUUGAUAAAUUAUGUACACUUUGGGAUGCUAAUAACGCUAAUGCAAUUUGUAAAAUAUUCCACAUUUUAUUUAAUAAAAUUUAAUUAUAUACAUUGUUUUUGUUGUUUAUAUUAACACCUUGGACAGUGUAUAUUUACGCCUUUGGACCCUGUAAAUAAACACCUUUGGAGGGUGUACCCAUUCUAAGCCAAAGACAUUUAAGAACAAUUAUCAAUGAAGGUACAGUAUUUGCAUGAUAAAAUAUAUUUAAAACUGCUCUCCAUAUACAUGUAAUGCAUGGUUCAAUUCUUGCUUUUAUCAAGUAAACCCAGGGAUUUUCAAUGUCCCCCUCCUCCCAUAGAAUUCACUUGAAGUGACUGGGGCAAGGCUAUAAGUAUAAAUUAAGUAGUUAUAUUAAUUCAAUUAACAUUUACAAAUUGAGCUUUUUGAAUAUAAACCAUUGCAAAAUUUUUAAAAAUUUGUUUAACCCUUUUUAAAAAUUUGUUUAACCCUACUUUAAUAUAUUACUCCGUCUGGUGCCAGACAAUUUUACUCAAGGGCAGAAUGUAGACUUGCCACAAGUCAACCUUGAAUGAAACGUUGGCUCACACUCGCUGCUUGCAUUUCGUUUGAGGUCGACUUGUGGCAAGUCUAGGCAGAAUGCUGCCACUCAAUGAGUUAAUAUAUUCUCAAAACAAUUACCAUCAAAUUUAAUCUAUUUUGCUGGCAAAAUUGCCUUGGAGGGGGUCCUUGAUUUGUUGAGUUUUUUUUUUUUUGGGGGGGGGAGUGUUGUAAAAAACAGAAUAGCAACUGGUUUCAGAAUAGGAAGAAUUGUUGUAAUAUAGGUAAUAUAAUUCUAAGACAAAUCAUCCAAAGGAAGCAAUCAUUCUAGCUCUUGUAGUGUAUGUUGCAACAGGGAUGGAUUUACCAGGGAGGGGGGGGGGCUGUGCACUCCCCUAGCCCUGGCCAGAGGGGGUGCAGGGGGGGUUCUAUUUUUCAUGAUAAAGCAAAAAAUGAUUACAGGCAAAAUGAGAUACAGUAAUUUGAGUAAUAACAUGAUGAUAAGCAAGCUGUGAACAGCAAUUACAAUUCAAAUACAGUAGUAAAGCAAGACUUUGCAGUAGUGAAGCAAGUUGAUGGGCGGGCGGCACACAUGACCAACACAACUCGGCACCAGAGCUGGCAGAGCACGCCCCACCCCACCCCACCCCCUACCAGAUCAUGCUGGAUCCAUCCAUGUGUUGCAAAAUGUAUUUUCUUCAUAGUCAGGCAUUCACAUGAAUGAAGAUUAGAAUUUCAUCAUGUUAUAUAGUCUUAAAUAUUUUAGGAGGGGUCUCCAUUAUUAAAUUAAGAGAUUAAAAAGGGGUCCCAUGACAUUUUGACAUAAGAAUCUCCCACCCCACCCUAGGGUAUAAUGAAUGGUCACUUAAAGUACAUGCCAUCUUAGAACUGGUUGGGCACCUUGCCCCUUUUGUGAUGGAAAAUCUAUCCCUACCUUUAUCCCUGGGACAAAAAAUUCAAAUCAACUCUCCACCCUGAUAUUAAAUGUGCAGAAGGUAACAGCAAGAAUUGAAGCAAGCAAGCUUUACUGGAGUACAUACUAUUAUUAGGAAGCAUCAAUUCGCACAUGCUAAUUUGCCAGUCAUGAUUUUAAACAGAAUAUUUCUUAUCUCGUAUAGAAUUCUUAAGGUCUUGUUUACAUUUUACUGGAAGCAAACUAAGAUGCAUAUCCAAUAUUUGGGUCAUAUCACUCAUAUGUCAGUUUUGCAGCUUGCCAGCUUCAACAACAUUUGGCUGCAAGGAAAACGUAAACAAAGAAAGAGCAUAUAACACUUCAUCUGUGUUUAAAAUAUCAAUGAAUAAAUAUUCCAA
Non-coding RNA from Paramuricea clavata, 2919 nucleotides. Lineage: Eukaryota; Metazoa; Cnidaria; Anthozoa; Malacalcyonacea; Plexauridae. The record is from the annotation of a GenBank genome assembly.